Molecule: transfer RNA, 56 nt
Filed under: Poteriostomum imparidentatum
Lineage: Eukaryota; Metazoa; Nematoda; Chromadorea; Rhabditida; Strongylidae
Description: tRNA-Thr
Source: RNAcentral
GCUAUUGUAGUUUAAUUGUAGAAUAUGUAACUUGUAAUUACAUGGAUAGAAUAGCU